UACGUAGGGUGCGAGCGUUAAUCGGAAUUACUGGGCGUAAAGCGUGCGCAGGCGGUUUUGUAAGCCAGAUGUGAAAUCCCCGGGCUUAACCUGGGAAUGGCAUUUGGGACUGCAAGGCUUGUGUGCGGCAGAGGAGACUGGAAUUCCUGGUGUAGCAGUGAAAUGCGUAGAUAUGCGGAGGAACACCGAUGGCGAAGGCAAUCCCCUGGGCCUGCACUGACGCUCAUGCACGAAAGCGUGGGGAGCAAACAGG
This 253-nucleotide ribosomal RNA is filed under the name uncultured prokaryote. RNAcentral describes it as "partial 16S ribosomal RNA". It matches the Rfam family "Bacterial small subunit ribosomal RNA", at positions 524 to 776 of the family's 1533-position model. The record is from RNAcentral.